Molecule: ribosomal RNA, 485 nt
Filed under: uncultured bacterium
Lineage: Bacteria
Description: bacterial SSU rRNA
Rfam family: Bacterial small subunit ribosomal RNA
Source: RNAcentral
GGCUCAGGAUGAACACUAGCGGCAGGCUUAACACAUGCAAGUCGAGGGGUAUAGGUUUUCGGACCUAGAGACCGGCGCACGGGUGCGUAACGCGUAUGCAAUCUACCUUUUGCAGAGGGAUAGCCCAGAGAAAUUUGGAUUAAUACCUCAUAGUAUAUGGACUUCGCAUGGAGACCAUAUUAAAGUUCCAACGGCAAAAGAUGAGCAUGCGUCCCAUUAGCUAGAUGGUAAGGUAACGGCUUACCAUGGCUACGAUGGGUAGGGGUCCUGAGAGGGAGAUCCCCCACACUGGUACUGAGACACGGACCAGACUCCUACGGGAGGCAGCAGUGAGGAAUAUUGGACAAUGGGCGCAAGUCUGAACCAGCCAUGCCGCGUGCAGGAUGACGGUCCUAUGGAUUGUAAACUGCUUUUGUACGAGAAGAAACAACAUUACGUGUAAUGUCUUGACGGUAUCGUAAGAAUAAGGAUCGGCUAACUCCGUG